Molecule: ribosomal RNA, 2132 nt
Filed under: Glossina morsitans
Lineage: Eukaryota; Metazoa; Arthropoda; Insecta; Diptera; Glossinidae
Description: eukaryotic LSU rRNA
Rfam family: Eukaryotic large subunit ribosomal RNA
Source: RNAcentral
AAGAAAAYAGUUCAGCACUAAGUCACUUUGUCUUUAAUGGCAAAUGUGAGAUGCAGUGUAUGGAAUGUUCAAUUCUAGUAUGAGAAAUUAGCGAUUUAAGUCCUUCUUAAAUGAGGCCAUUUACCCAAAGAGGGUGCUAGGCCCGUAUAACGUUAAUGAUUACUAGAGAACAAUUCCAAAGAGUCGUGUUGCUUGAUAGUGCAGCACUAAGUGGGUGGUAAACUCCAUCUAAAACUAAAUAUAACCAUGAGACCGAUAGUAAACAAGUACCGUGAGGGAAAGUUGAAAAGAACUCUGAAUAGAGAGUUAAAUAGUACGUGAAACUGCUUAGAGGUUAAGCCCGAUGAACCCGAAUAUCCAUUAUGGAAAAUUCAUCAUUAUGAAWUWWKRWWWUUWAWWAAWAUAUUAUAUUAAUGGUGUGCAUUUUUUCCAUAUAAGGACAUUGUAAUCUAUUAAYAUUAAAAUUUAUCAUAAARUCAUURGCUUUAAAGUUUAUUCAAAUUAUUAUGCUUGCAUUUUAACAYAGAAUAAWUGCUUUUGAUUUGAUAGAUUGUUGAUAGAUUUAUAUUUAUAUAGUGCUUAAAUAUAUUUWUAUAUUUUAUAAUAGCAUAWWAAWYMAWWRAUUUUUAUGUUUAUUAUAUGCACUUAUAUGAUUUACAAUGCGAAAGAUUCGGGAUACCUUCGGGACCCGUCUUGAAACACGGACCAAGGAGUCUAACAUAUUUGCRAGUUAUUGGGUUYUUUAAAAACCUAAUAGCGAAAUUAACAUGACAAAAUUAAUAUGGGAUUAGUUAUUAGUUCUWYKKAAUACAGCAUACUYUAGACUAUUAAUUCAAUCCCGGGGCGUUCUAUACAGUUAUGUAUAAUAAUAUUUAUAUUAUUUAUACCUCUAACUAGAACGUACCUUGAGCAUAUAUGCUGUAACCCGAAAGAUGGUGAACUAUACUUGAUCAGGUUGAAGUCAGGGGAAACCCUGAUGGAAGACCGAAACAGUUCUGACGUGCAAAUCGAUUGUCAGAAUUGAGUAUAGGGGCGAAAGACCAAUCGAACCAUCUAGUAGCUGGUUCCCUCCGAAGUUUCCCUCAGGAUAGCUGGUGCAUUUAAAAUUUAUGUAAAAUAAUCUUAUCUGGUAAAGCGAAUGAUUAGAGGCCUUAGGGUCGAAACGAUCUUAACCUAUUCUCAAACUUUAAAUGGGUAAGAACCUCACCUUUCUUGGUAUGAAGGUUGUGGUUGUGAUAUAAUGUGCCCAGUGGGCCACUUUUGGUAAGCAGAACUGGCGCUGUGGGAUGAACCAAACGUAAUGUUACGGUGCCCAAAUUAACAACUCAUGCAGAUACCAUGAAAGGCGUUGGUUGCUUAAAACAGCAGGACGGUGGACAUGGAAGUCGCAAUCCGCUAAGGAGUGUGUAACAACUCACCUGCCGAAGCAACUAGCCCUUAAAAUGGAUGGCGCUUAAGUUGUAUACCUAUACAUUACCGCUAAAGUAAAUGGUUGAAAUUCAAUUUAUUUGGAUUUGUAAACUUUAAAACUUUAGUGAGUAGGAGGGUACAAUGGUGAGCGUAGAAGUGUUUGGCGUAAGCCUGCAUGGAGCCGCCAUUGGUACAGAUCUUGGUGGUAGUAGCAAAUAAUCGAAUGAGACCUUGGAGGACUGAAGUGGAGAAGGGUUUCGUGUGAACAGUGGUUGAUCACGAGUUAGUCGGUCCUAAGUUCAAGGCGAAAGCUGAAAAUUUUCAAGUUAUAUAUUAAUAAUGUAUAUUUAUAUAUAUAUAUAUAWAUAAUGUAUAAAACACUUGAAAWUAAUUGAACGAAAGGGAAUACGGUUCCAAUUCCGUAACCUGUUGAGUAUCCGUUUGUUUAUUAAAUGUGGGCCUUGUGCUCAUCCUGGCAACAGGAACGACCAUAAAGAAGCCGUCGAGAGAUAUCGGAAGAGUUUUCUUUUCUGUUUUAUAGUCGUACUACCAUGGAAGUCUUUCGAAGAGAGAUAUGGUAGAUGGGCUAGAAGAGCAUGACAUUUACUGUUGUGUCGAUAUUUUCUCCUCGGACCUUGAAAAUUUAUGGUGGGGUCACGCAAACUUCUCAACAGGCCGUACCAAUAUCCGCAGCUGGUCUCCAAGGUGAAGAGUCUCUAGUC